AAUUAGAUGUCUGGCUUACGUAGGAGCUGAUCUGUCGUCAUUGUAGAUUGUCACAUGGCUGGGCUGCGUUAGCUAGCAAGCUUCCUGGAGCCUGCUCCACUGUCUUCAAGCCAUCCUACAAAUGCCAGGGCUUAGCGCUUUUGCUAUUGGAAGCACCCAUCUGCAAGGGCAAAUGUUGGUUGUGAAUAAUUAUUCUCAUCACCAGUAGAGAACGCUGAAGUUGCUGACGCUAGUUCAGGUUCCUUGAAUUCUCCCAAUUUACCUGACAAUCCUCUUAACAUUUCACAGGUGUUUCCAGAGCUACUGUGUCUGCAGAAGUUCCAGAAAGCUCAUGGUGAAGAGUCUGCUUUCACCUGUCAGAUUCAAGCCCAUUAAAUGAUUUGAGGAAAUGAAAAACAAGUGAUCCUUUUAGAGUUGUCAACAACUGGCCUACAGUCUAGCUUGAAGCUUUUGGUAACCCCACCAGCUACAGCUCUGGACAAGCCAAAGAUUGCCAGAAGGAUACAUGUUGCCUUUGAAACUGCAGCCUUUGACCUGGUCUUAGACUUCCACUUCUGAACUGACAAUCCCCAGCAUUAUGCGGCUGUGGAGUGCGUGGGGCAGUGCAGCCACAAGCUGAACAAAAUCAGGCCCUGGGAACACACCCUCCACUUUGCAGAAGGUCAUGGUAAGGCUCGCUCCCAGGGCUGUGUCCUGCAAGGUGCUAAACACCCAUUAUUCCCUGACCCACCAAAGCAUUUUAACACGGCC
This 750-nucleotide long non-coding RNA is filed under the name Falco tinnunculus (common kestrel). Its description in RNAcentral is "lncRNA (ENSFTIG00000015085.1)". Lineage: Eukaryota; Metazoa; Chordata; Aves; Falconiformes; Falconidae. The record is from RNAcentral.